ACACUGUACGAGUUUGAUCAUGGCUCAGGAUGAACGCUAGCGACAGGCCUAACACAUGCAAGUCGAGCGGAGGGUUUCGGCCCUCAGCGGCGGACGGGUGAGUAACACGUAGGUUACGUGCCCUUUGGUGGGGAAUAACUUAGGGAAACCUGAGCUAAUACCGCAUAUGCCCUUCGGGGUGAAAGUCUUCGGACGCCAGAGGAUCGGCCUGCGGCCCAUUAUUUAAUCCUUGUUGGUGGGGUAACGGCCUACCAAGGGUACGAUGGGUAGCUGGUCUGAGAGGAUGAUCAGCCACACUGGGACUGAGACACGGCCCAGACUCCUACGGGAGGCAGCAGUGGGGAAUAUUGGACAAUGGGCGCAAGCCUGAUCCAGCAAUGCCGCGUGAGUGAUGAAGGCCUUAGGGUUGUAAAGCUCUUUUACCAGGGAUGAUAAUGACAGUACCUGGAGAAUAAGCUCCGGCUAACUCCGUG
This 473-nucleotide ribosomal RNA is filed under the name uncultured bacterium. RNAcentral describes it as "bacterial SSU rRNA". It matches the Rfam family "Bacterial small subunit ribosomal RNA", at positions 1 to 507 of the family's 1533-position model. The record is from RNAcentral.